AUAAUUUUCUGAAUAUAGUCAUUUAGUCAUUUAGUCAUUUAUUCAUUCAUUCCAAUAUUUUAACAUAAUUUAUAACAAUAACAAUUACAGUAAAUGUUUA
This is a long non-coding RNA of Maniola jurtina (meadow brown), 100 nucleotides long. RefSeq lists it as uncharacterized. The transcript has 3 exons. The record is from RefSeq and is a predicted model, not a curated record. Lineage: Eukaryota; Metazoa; Arthropoda; Insecta; Lepidoptera; Nymphalidae.